This 434-nucleotide ribosomal RNA is filed under the name uncultured bacterium. RNAcentral's name for it is "bacterial SSU rRNA". It matches the Rfam family "Bacterial small subunit ribosomal RNA", at positions 355 to 786 of the family's 1533-position model. The record is from RNAcentral.
UGAGGAAUAUUGGUCAAUGGUCGCUAGACUGAACCAGCCAAGUAGCGUGCGGGAUGAAGGCCCUCCGGGUCGUAAACCGCUUUUAGACGGGGAUAAAAGGGCGUACGUGUACGCCGUAUUGCAUGUACCGUCAGAAAAAGGACCGGCUAAUUCCGUGCCAGCAGCCGCGGUAAUACGGAAGGUCCGGGCGUUAUCCGGAUUUAUUGGGUUUAAAGGGAGCGUAGGCGGACUUUCAAGUCAGCGGUAAAAUCGUGUGGCUCAACCAUACCUCGCCAUUGAAACUGGAAGUCUGGAGUGCACACAGGGGUGCCGGAAUUCAUGGUGUAGCGGUGAAAUGCUUAGAUAUCAUGAAGAACUCCGAUCGCGAAGGCAAGUGCCCGGGGUGCACUGACGCUGAGGCUCGAAGGUGCGGGUAUCGAACAGGAUUAGAUACC